RNAcentral lists this non-coding RNA (685 nucleotides) under Dichanthelium oligosanthes. Its description in RNAcentral is "Eukaryotic large subunit ribosomal RNA". It matches the Rfam family "Eukaryotic large subunit ribosomal RNA", at positions 104 to 627 of the family's 3401-position model. The record is from Rfam by way of RNAcentral. Lineage: Eukaryota; Viridiplantae; Streptophyta; Magnoliopsida; Poales; Poaceae.
CGAGUCCAAAAUUUCCAUGAAUAACAAACUAUGUUACACCAGAGAGGCGUCCUCAGAGACAAACUGGGCCCAAGUUCUCUGGAAAGGGACGCCUGGGAGGGUGAGAGCUCCGUCCGGCCCAGACCCUGUUUCACCACGAGGCGCCGUCAACGAGUCGGGUUGUUUGGGAAUGCAGCCCAAAUCAGGCGGUAAACUCCGUCCAAGGCUAAAUACAGGCGGUGGACCGAUAGCGAACAAGUACCGCGAGGGAAAGAUGGAAAUGACUUUGAAAAGAGAGUCAAAGAGUGCUUGAAAUUGCCGGGAGGGAAGCGGAUGGGGGCCGGCGAUGCGUCCCGGUUGUAUGCAGAACGGCUUUUGCUGGUCUGCCUAUCGGUUCGGGGCGUGGAAUGUUGUCAGCCACGCCGGCGGCCUAAGCCUGGGGGCCUCAGGUGCCUCCAGUAGCAGUCGCCGGCACGUCCGGUACAAUUUUGAUAGUGGUUCCUCCAACUGUUAGAGCAGCAGUUAGCCAAGCUGAAGGAUAUGGUAAUAAUGCACAGGCAGAGAUUAUCCUGAAGCUCCACAAUACUUCCUGAGUUCUUGACACUCUUGUUUGAUUUAAAUUCAAUAGAUCUAGCUCAUUGCAUUUGCUCAAUAAAGGUCAUCAUGGCUACAGGUGUUAAGAUUCUCAUUCUAAUCUUAUACAUUA